Molecule: transfer RNA, 75 nt
Filed under: Acidobacteriota bacterium
Lineage: Bacteria; Pseudomonadati; Acidobacteriota
Also listed under: 2 other names
Description: Acidobacteria bacterium (rhizosphere metagenome) tRNA-Val
Rfam family: tRNA
About the family: Transfer RNA (tRNA) molecules are approximately 80 nucleotides in length. Their secondary structure includes four short double-helical elements and three loops (D, anti-codon, and T loops). Further hydrogen bonds mediate the characteristic L-shaped molecular structure. tRNAs have two regions of fundamental functional importance: the anti-codon, which is responsible for specific mRNA codon recognition, and the 3' end, to which the tRNAs corresponding amino acid is attached (by aminoacyl-tRNA synthetases). tRNAs cope with the degeneracy of the genetic code in two manners: having more than one tRNA (with a specific anti-codon) for a particular amino acid; and 'wobble' base-pairing, i.e. permitting non-standard base-pairing at the 3rd anti-codon position.
Source: RNAcentral
GCGGGGUUAGCUCAGCGGUAGAGCGUCUGCUUUACACGCAGAGGGUCACUGGUUCGAAUCCGGUACCCCGCACCA